GUUUAAGAUUAUAACUUGAAAUGAUAAUGUUGAUACAUAAUCUUUUUCAUACUUAACAGUGAGAAUAAGUAGAAUUAAGGGACGUAAGUAUAAAUUUUGGC
Limulus polyphemus (Atlantic horseshoe crab) is the source of this 101-nucleotide long non-coding RNA. RefSeq lists it as uncharacterized. The record is from RefSeq and is a predicted model, not a curated record. Lineage: Eukaryota; Metazoa; Arthropoda; Merostomata; Xiphosura; Limulidae. The transcript has 3 exons.